Molecule: small nuclear RNA, 104 nt
Organism: Suncus etruscus (white-toothed pygmy shrew)
Lineage: Eukaryota; Metazoa; Chordata; Mammalia; Eulipotyphla; Soricidae
Source: RefSeq, a predicted model, not a curated record
GUGCUUGAUUUUGCAGCAUAUGUAAAAUUGGAAUGAUGCAGAGAUGAUUAUCAUGUCCCCUACAGAAGGAUGGCAUGCAAAUUCAUGAAGCAUUCUAUAUUUUU